UCUUUGUUGGUUAAUAAGUUCUAGGUCCAUAUAUAUAUAUAUAUAUAUAUCUUUGCAUGUAAUAGCAAGCUAGCAGCUGACUUUUACUCUUGGUUGAGUCGUGGCUUGUGUACGUGCUUCUUUUUUAUUUAGCUAAGCUAAUUAAGAUGGCAUCCUCCGUGUAUAUAUUUAGUUGGGAGUGUAGUAGUGCAGUUGAACACGUACGAUGCCUGUGCUGCAUCUAAUUAGUAUACAUGAAGCUUUGGUGCCAAAUCGUGGUCCUUAUGUAGUGUAUAUAGGGUAUAUGUAUGUUGACAUGUUGUAGGAUUUAUGUGUAGCAUCUUCCCGGAGCUCAAAGGAUUUGGUGUAAUUGUUUAUAUUUAUAUUUACUAGGAAAUAUGCCCGUGCGUUGCUACGGAAGAAAGAUUGUAUGGUUGGAAAUUGCAUGAUGCACCUCCCAGUUGCCUUCCUCUCUAUUGGGCUUCUAGCACCCACAAUCGGCACCUCACACAGGAUCACUGCCUCACCAACCUUCCACGACGUCCUACCCUAACCAUAAGGUUCCUCUCUACCACUCCAGCAUGACGCCCCGUCGCUCACCCUACGCAAACUCUUACAAUUGUUUGUUGAGGAUUAAAAAAAAGAAAAAAUGGUUUUAAUUAUGUUCUUGAUUUUCUAGUAUCUAGUUAGAUUUUGGUUCAUCAGGUGUUGGGUUCAAGCCCUCAGAUUUGCAU
RNAcentral lists this long non-coding RNA (713 nucleotides) under Sorghum bicolor (sorghum). Its description in RNAcentral is "long non-coding RNA (SBIC_LNC007566)". Lineage: Eukaryota; Viridiplantae; Streptophyta; Magnoliopsida; Poales; Poaceae. The record is from RNAcentral.